Populus euphratica (Euphrates poplar) is the source of this 102-nucleotide long non-coding RNA. RefSeq lists it as uncharacterized. The transcript has 3 exons. The record is from RefSeq and is a predicted model, not a curated record. Lineage: Eukaryota; Viridiplantae; Streptophyta; Magnoliopsida; Malpighiales; Salicaceae.
GGAGCUUUCUUGAAAGUCCUUUGGAGAAGUCACUGGCCGUUACAAUUGAGGUAGUCGUCGUUGGAAGCGACUCAGCAUAGACUUUUCGAUGGCUGAUGUAUU